Molecule: RNA transcript, 1615 nt
Organism: Harpia harpyja (harpy eagle)
Lineage: Eukaryota; Metazoa; Chordata; Aves; Accipitriformes; Accipitridae
Gene: SAXO4
Gene name: protein phosphatase 1 regulatory subunit 32
Exons: 6
Source: RefSeq, a predicted model, not a curated record
GUGGAAACACUGGUGCUGCUGCCCUCCCUGUGGCUCUCCUCCUCCUCCUCCGGCAGCAGCUCCCUCGGACUCUCAGGGCACGAUGAAUAAAGCCGUGGCUGCUAGCCCUGCCGCUCCUGCUGCCUGGACUCUCGUGCCGCGGGGCUGGGCAUUGUCUCCCCCUCGGUGAAGGCACGCACCGGGGGAAGCGCCGACCUCAUGAACUUCUACGCCACGAGCUACGCGGUGGCCUACGGCCAGCCGCGUUUCCGUCCCCGCCUCGGCCACCACACUGGCACCGGCUACGUGUCCAACAACCACUCGGCCAUGUCCUGCCUGCUCUGCCCGCGCGGUGCAGCAGAGGGCCACUGCCAGGACACCGCCACGUCCACCACCACUGAGCACUUCAAGCCCUUCUGGCUCCCCAACGGCCGGAGCCUGCUGCCCCGGCACGUCCACCAGCCGGAGAGCGGGUACCUCCAAGAGUCCUCCCUUUCCUUCCCCCACACCGGGGGGGUGAGUCCCCAGCACACGCGGCUCCUCCAGGGCCCCCCCAGAGCAUCCAGGGAGCACGGCACAGAGAGCCGCCGCGCCGGUCCUGCCCAGCCAGGUACGGUUUUGGGGGUGUCGGUGGUGCUGGGGCCAGCUCCGUCCCCAGGAGGUUUUGGGGUGUCAGUGGUCCCAGGACUAGGUCUGACCCCAGGAUGUUUUGGGGGUGUUGGAGGCCCCCUGCCCUGCAUCACCCACACCUGCCCACCCCCAAACACAGGGGGACAGGCAGGGGCCGUGAAACCGGGUAAUGCCAUGGCUGGCUCCAGAGUCCGUGCGCAGGCUGGGCUGGGGACAGGAUGGGGACAGUGGGGCUCCCUCCCUGCCCCAUCUGCUCCCCACAGAUGUCCUGCAGAAGACGACCAUCGGUGCCAAGGAGCAGUCGGGCUUCACCAGGGCCACCCCAAGGAGCGACAGCAUCCUGCCAGUCCUGCCAGCCCAGCCCGUGAGCCCCUGCCUCACCGGGUCCCUUGUCCCCCGCCAGCCCCUCACCCCCUUUGCACCCCAAGGGACAAUUUUGCUCUCCCACAGCUCGGCGUUAGCAUCACCACAACGGAUUACCUGCCCUCUGUGCACAGACACGGCGGCGAGACACUCCCGGCACUGCCGGCGGGCUCCGAGAGAGGCAACGGGUUCAGCCGGGAGGUGCCACGCUGCCUGGGCACGGCGGUGAGCAGGACCCCAUCCCACUGCCUGUCCCCGUGUGCCCUCCCUGUCCUCAUCCACUAUCCCCACGCAGGGCUUGCCUGUGGUGGGCCACCCCAUCCCACUCGUCUCCCGAGGACUGCAGGCACCCUGAGUGACCCAGGCCAGCCCGCUGGGACAGCAGGGUGCUGGCAGGAAGGUGGGUGCAGGCAUGGCCUCGUCCCCGUCCCCAUCCCUGCAGGACCAUGCACCCAACCCACCUCCAUCCUCCCAGGAGCCAUUGGGGUUCACCAUUAACCACGGCCAGUACGUGACCCCCUGCCCGACCCCGUCCCCCACAGCGCCAGCCUGGCGUUGGCAGGGUCCAACCUGGAUGGUGAGACCCACGGGGGGCAUCCAGCCCCAGCGCCCCAGCGGCUUCAGCACCAACAACCACCCUACC